AUCUUGCACAAUGGGCGAAAGCUUGAUGCAGCAACGCCGCAUCAGUGAUGCAGCCCUUCGUCUCGUAACGUUCUUUGAUCAGGGAUGAUAAUGACGGUACCGGAAUAACAACCCACGGCUAACUCCUUACCAGCAGCCGCGGUAAUCCGUAGGUGGCGAGCGUUGUCCGGAAUUACUGGGCGUAAAGGAUGCGUAGGUGGAUACUUAAGUGGGAUGUGAAAUCCCCGGGCUCAACCCGGGAACUGCAUUCCAAACUGGGUAUCUAGAGUGCAGGAGAGGAAAGCGGAAUUCCUAGUGUAGCGGUGAAAUGCGUAGAUAUUAGGAGGAACACCAGUGGCGAAGGCGGCUUUCUGGACUGUAACUGACACUGAGGCAUGAAAGCGUGGGUAGCAAACAGG
This 398-nucleotide ribosomal RNA is filed under the name uncultured bacterium. Its description in RNAcentral is "partial 16S ribosomal RNA". It matches the Rfam family "Bacterial small subunit ribosomal RNA", at positions 361 to 776 of the family's 1533-position model. The record is from RNAcentral.